Long non-coding RNA from Triticum aestivum (bread wheat), 1913 nucleotides. RefSeq lists it as uncharacterized. NCBI's taxonomy places the organism in Eukaryota, Viridiplantae, Streptophyta, Magnoliopsida, Poales, Poaceae. The transcript has 7 exons. The record is from RefSeq and is a predicted model, not a curated record.
GCCGUCUCGCCCGUCCCGCCCGCACUCGCACGUCCCACCUCCUCCUCUCCCUCUCUCGAUCUCCUCUGUGAACCCUAACCCCGCGCUCGCACGCUCGCCCUCUCGCCUCCGCCUCUGCUCAUCCUCGCGUUGCUGCCUCCGCCUCUGCUAGCCCUCGCGCCGCCGCCACCGCCUCUGCCUCUGCUCGCCCUCGCGCCGCCGCCUCCGCCUCUGCUCGCCCUCGCGCCGACGCCUCCACCUCUGCUCGCCCUCGCGCCGUCGGGCCGUUUCCUCCUCCACGCCCCCUUGGUGCUCAUUAGGAAAAGCGCGGCUCGGCGUCGGCCCUCGCGAGUGAGGUAGGACGCGCGCAGGAGGGAGCGGCGGAGCAAGGUGGGGCCGGUCGAGGUCUCUGUCAAUCUGCUGUUGUGGUCAUCGAUUUGCAGAUUUGUCGGGUGUUGCCGGUGCCUCCUUUGAUCUGACCCGGUUGCGUCUUCGUUCAUGGAUCUGAGGUUAACCCCUCUUCUUCUCCUCCUUUUGUCCUCUCGUGUUAGAGUGCUAGGUAUACGGCGGCAUGGCCAAGUGUUGUGUGUUUGGCCAGCAUGGGCCAUUUGUUGUUUGUCCUGCAUCUGGUAAAGGCCAAAGGUCUUUUCCUCUUUGUCUGGUCUGGUAGUGCCUGCAAUUGGUGCUUCUUCCCUGGUGGAGUAUUUGUGUUUUGUUGCUUUUAGUCUAGCUAGGUUCCAAGGAAGGGACAUUUAGGCUUUUCUUGUUUUGCUGGUACGAGGAGACAUGGCCGGAAGCACCAGCGAACUACACCAAUAGUAUCUCUCGUUAGCUCACAAACAUCUUUGUGAAGUACUACCUCCGUAGUAUACUCUACUUUCAAUCUUGUACUUGUAACCUAUUUUGUCCUUCCCUUCUUCACAGUUUGGGAGAGAUACAACAGAGAAGACCACCAGAGAAACGGUCGUCCCGAACCCAGACUAUCAUUGCUAUACUUGGUGAGCUCUAGAGGGAUAUCUGGUUUGUUUAUGUCUUGGAUUGGAGCAGCGACGCAAGUAGGGAGAGAUCGUUGCCUGGACUGCUUCUACUCUCAUCAUCGUGGCUUGCAGGUCGCCACCGUCACAAAUGUUACUUUUCAUUUACAUUCACAUGAUGUUGUAGUGUUCCAGGCAUGAAAACGAUAAAAUAUUGUGGCCGGCUGCCACCGACCGACUCGAGCUCGCUUCAGCCUCCUCCUACGAUCCUGCAGCUACUACCUCCCCAAGCAAAGUCAACCUACAGCAACAAGGAUUACAAAAAGGUGUGGAGGCCGGCUCUCUCGGUUCACUCAAGAGUACCUUUGUUCUGCUGUAGCUCAAAACGUAGAUGCCAGAGCCACGACGCGAGUGCGUCUGCUUCCCGUUAGGAGAACAUGGUUUGAUGAAAGGAGGGUGAUGGAUGCGCCAUGGGGCAAGUCACCUGGAUUGUGUCGUGUUGGGAGGGUGAUGGAUGUGCCAUGGGGCAAGUCCGUCUGAUGAAUGGUGUGGACGGAAGAGCGACAAUAACUAUGAGGUUGGUCAAAGGUUGAAAGAAAUCUCUUAUGUGUCUUCGGUCUCGACACCACGUGUAGGUAGCCGUCAUUGAUAAUACAAACUUUGAAAAGUUUGUUUCAAGGUUCAUAACUCUGUUGUCAAUGGGGAAAAUGUUAUCUGUUUCAAGUGACAAAACAAACUACUCAUAGCAGGUUCAUGUGAUGUGGCGUAUAAAAGGUCGAACGUCAAGACGAUCAGGUGGAUGUAUCCAAAAAUAUGCUUUUGUGGAACUAUAAGUUCUUUGUCUCACACUGCUGUUGUGGCUUUCUUUUCCUGUAUGAAAAGUACACUAUCUAUAUCAAACUUGAUGUGGAUUGAUCGACCUUGCUCGCUUUUGGCACAAGUAUAUAUUUCCAUUUCCUA